GGGGCAUCAUGAGGUAGCAAUACCUUGAUGGCGACCGGCGCACGGGUGAGUAACGCGUAUGCAACCUGCCUGAUACCGGGGUAUAGCCCAUGGAAACGUGGAUUAACACCCCAUAGUACUUUUAUCCUGCAUGGGAUGUGAGUUAAAUGUUUAAGGUAUCGGAUGGGCAUGCGUCCUAUUAGUUAGUUGGCGGGGUAACAGCCCACCAAGACGAUGAUAGGUAGGGGUUCUGAGAGGAAGGUCCCCCACAUUGGAACUGAGACACGGUCCAAACUCCUACGGGAGGCAGCAGUGAGGAAUAUUGGUCAAUGGACGAGAGUCUGAACCAGCCAAGUCGCGUGAGGGAAGACUGCCCUAUGGGUUGUAAACCUCUUUUAUAAGGGAAGAAUAAGUUCUACGUGUAGAAUGAUGCCUGUACCUUAUGAAUAAGCAUCGGCUAACUCCGUGCCAGCAGCCGCGGUAAUACGGAGGAUGCGAGCGUUAUCCGGAUUUAUUGGGUUUAAAGGGUGCGUAGGCGGUUUAUUAAGUUAGUGGUUAAAUAUUUGAGCUAAACUCAAUUGUGCCAUUAAUACUGGUAAACUGGAGUACAGACGAGGUAGGCGGAAUAAGUUAAGUAGCGGUGAAAUGCAUAGAUAUAACUUAGAACUCCGAUAGCGAAGGCAGCUUACCAGACUGUAACUUGACGCUGAUGCACGA
This 696-nucleotide ribosomal RNA is filed under the name uncultured Bacteroidales bacterium. Its description in RNAcentral is "bacterial SSU rRNA". It matches the Rfam family "Bacterial small subunit ribosomal RNA", at positions 66 to 756 of the family's 1533-position model. Lineage: Bacteria; Pseudomonadati; Bacteroidota; Bacteroidia; Bacteroidales. The record is from RNAcentral.